Molecule: non-coding RNA, 45 nt
Filed under: Schistosoma haematobium
Lineage: Eukaryota; Metazoa; Platyhelminthes; Trematoda; Strigeidida; Schistosomatidae
Source: RNAcentral
AUCCAGUUGACCAGUCCUAAACAGGACGAAAUCCUCAUCUUGGAU